Molecule: ribosomal RNA, 256 nt
Filed under: uncultured bacterium
Lineage: Bacteria
Description: partial 16S ribosomal RNA
Rfam family: Bacterial small subunit ribosomal RNA
Source: RNAcentral
UACGAAGGGUGCAAGCGUUACUCGGAAUUACUGGGCGUAAAGCGUGCGUAGGUGGUGAGUUAAGUCUGUCGUGAAAGCCCCGGGCUCAACCUGGGAAUGGCGAUGGAUACUGGCUCGCUAGAGUGCGGUAGAGGAGAGUGGAAUUCCCGGUGUAGCAGUGAAAAUGCGUAGAGAUCGGGAGGAACAUCAGUUGCGAAGGCGGCUCUCUGGACCAGCACUGACACUGAGGCACGAAAAGCGUGGGGGAGCAAACAGG